This 440-nucleotide ribosomal RNA is filed under the name uncultured bacterium. RNAcentral's name for it is "partial 16S ribosomal RNA". It matches the Rfam family "Bacterial small subunit ribosomal RNA", at positions 338 to 795 of the family's 1533-position model. The record is from RNAcentral.
CCUACGGGAGGCAGCAGUAGGGAAUAUUGCUCAAUGGGGGAAACCCUGAAGCAGCAACGCCGCGUGGAGGAUGAAGGUUUUCGGAUUGUAAACUCCUGUUAUUAGAGAAGAUAAUGACGGUAUCUAACGAAUAAGCACCGGCUGACUCCGUCCCAGCAGCCGCGGUAAUACGGAGGGUGCGAGCGUUACUCGGAAUAACUGGGCGUAAAGAGCGCGUAGGCGGGAUGGCAAGUCAGAUGUGAAAUCCUAUGGCUUAACCAUAGAACAGCAUUUGAAACUGUUAUUCUAGAGUAUGUGAGAGGUAGGUGGAAUUCUUGGUGUAGGGGUAAAAUCCGUAGAGAUCAAGAGGAAUAUUAAUUGCGAAGGCGACCUGCUAGCACAUAACUGACGCUGAUGAGCGAAAGCGUGGGGAGCAAACAGGAUUAGAUACCCGGGUAGUC